Molecule: ribosomal RNA, 832 nt
Filed under: Sphaerospermopsis aphanizomenoides IFCC-AA05
Lineage: Bacteria; Bacillati; Cyanobacteriota; Cyanophyceae; Nostocales; Aphanizomenonaceae
Description: bacterial SSU rRNA
Rfam family: Bacterial small subunit ribosomal RNA
Source: RNAcentral
UUUAGAGUUUGAUCCUGGCUCAGGAUGAACGCUGGCGGUAUGCUUAACACAUGCAAGUCGAACGGAAUGCUUAGGCAUUUAGUGGCGGACGGGUGAGUAACGCGUGAGAAUUUGGCUUCAGGUCGGGGACAACAGUUGGAAACGACUGCUAAUACCGGAUGUGCCGGAAGGUGAAAGAUUUAUCGCCUGAAGAUAAGCUCGCGUCUGAUUAGCUAGUUGGUAGUGUAAGGGACUACCAAGGCGACGAUCAGUAGCUGGUCUGAGAGGAUGAUCAGCCACACUGGGACUGAGACACGGCCCAGACUCCUACGGGAGGCAGCAGUGGGGAAUUUUCCGCAAUGGGCGAAAGCCUGACGGAGCAAUACCGCGUGAGGGAGGAAGGCUCUUGGGUCGUAAACCUCUUUUCUCAAGGAAGAAUGCAAUGACGGUACUUGAGGAAUAAGCAUCGGCUAACUCCGUGCCAGCAGCCGCGGUAAUACGGAGGAUGCAAGCGUUAUCCGGAAUGAUUGGGCGUAAAGGGUCUGUAGGUGGUACUGAAAGUCUGCUGUUAAAGAGCAAGGCUCAACCUUGUAAGAGCAGUGGAAACUACAGAACUAGAGUGCGGUAGGGGCAAAAGGAAUUCCUGGUGUAGCGGUGAAAUGCGUAGAUAUCAGGAAGAACACCGGUGGCGAAAGCGUUUUGCUAGACCGCAACUGACACUGAGGGACGAAAGCUAGGGGAGCGAAUGGGAUUAGAUACCCCAGUAGUCCUAGCCGUAAACGAUGGAUACUAGGCGUGGCUUGAUCGACCCGAGCCGUAAACCGAAGCAAAAUACAAAUAAAAAAACUGCAGU